CUAGGACGCCAGGGGGAACAGGGAUCAUUACUUCCAUUUCACAGAUGGAGACACAGAUCUAAAGAGCUGCCAUUCCCAAGGUCACAAUGGAGAAGAAUGGAAUUGGAGACUGGGCAGGCUGGACGUCAUCACUCUGAGAGCUGGGGGAAAACAGGAUGGUCACACCCCCAGUCCAGCCACCAGCGAAAUCGUCUAGGAAAUCCACACUGCCCGCUCGCUGCCCUCCCUCCCAGCCCACCCUCAGGAUCCCAGUACUCCAGGCCCCAGGGUUGGUGCUGGGUUCGCUGCUGCCAAGCCUGACACCUCAUCCUGCGGCCAGUGCGGGAGUCAUCCUUCACCGCUCCCUCUCAAAUCUGGAUUUCAUCCCCAUUGACCACUGCCUUUGGCUCACACCAGAGUUCUGCAGAAAUGUCACCACCAGGAGACCCAAACAGGCCGCAGAGAAAAGAAAACUGUGAAUUCAGGAACUGCUGGGGCCAACGCAAUGGGUAAAAGGGCUGCAGAUGGCAAGUUCAACAAAAGGUCACACAGAGAUCACUGAAUUUUAAUGGAAACCCUUCAGGGGAGAGAUUCAAAGAUUUAAUGUAAACAGACUUUCCUGGUAAAUAAAGUCCCAUAUGUAUCCAUAUUCCCUCCCUUCCCAGUAAAUAAAUGAUUUAAAAAGUCUAAA
Molecule: long non-coding RNA, 670 nt
Organism: Phyllostomus hastatus (greater spear-nosed bat)
Lineage: Eukaryota; Metazoa; Chordata; Mammalia; Chiroptera; Phyllostomidae
Exons: 4
Source: RefSeq, a predicted model, not a curated record